Molecule: small RNA, 140 nt
Filed under: Caenorhabditis elegans
Lineage: Eukaryota; Metazoa; Nematoda; Chromadorea; Rhabditida; Rhabditidae
Description: Unclassified non-coding RNA C33H5.22
Source: RNAcentral
GGAACAAAAUAAAAAAAGACAGAACAGUGAAAGGUAAUAAUGGUAAAAUUCGGUUAAACAACAAAGAAAUUAAAUUUAGUGAAAACUUUUUUAAAUCAUUGAUUCGAGAUUCUUCGGAGGAAUUAGGGUUGCAAAUUGAU